This 356-nucleotide ribosomal RNA is filed under the name uncultured bacterium. Its description in RNAcentral is "bacterial SSU rRNA". It matches the Rfam family "Bacterial small subunit ribosomal RNA", at positions 355 to 734 of the family's 1533-position model. The record is from RNAcentral.
UGGGGAAUAUUGGACAAUGGGCGCAAGCCUGAUCCAGCAAUGCCGCGUGUGUGAAGAAGGCCUUAGGGUUGUAAAGCACUUUCAGGGGGGAGGCGUUACCCUCAGAAGAAGCACCGGCUAACUCUGUGCCAGCAGCCGCGGUAAUACAGAGGGUGCGAGCGUUAAUCGGAAUGACUGGGCGUAAAGCGCGCGUAGGCGGUUAUAUAAGUUGGGUGUGAAAUCCCUGGGCUCAACCUAGGAAUUGCAUUCAAAACUGUAUGACUUGAGUGAAGUAGAGGUGAGUGGAAUUUCCGGAGUAGCGGUGAAAUGCGUAGAUACCGGAAGGAACACCAGUGGCGAAGGCGACUCACGUGGGC